GAUCUGGCUCAGAACGAACGCUGGCGGCGCGUCUUAAGCAUGCAAGUCGAACGGCAAGAGGUAGCAAUACCUCCUAGAGUGGCGGACUGGUGAGUAACACGUGGGUGACAUACCCUUCAGAUGGGGAUAGCUAUUAGAAAUAGUAGAUAAUACCGAAUACGAGCACAGGGGUUAGAGAUCUGUGAGGAAAGGAGCUAAGGCUCCGCUGAAGGAAUGGCCUGCGGCCCAUUAGCUAGUUGGUGAGGUAAGAGCCCACCAAGGCGAUGAUGGGUAUCCGGCCUUAGAGGGUGAACGGACACAUUGGGACUGAGAUACGGCCCAGACUCCUACGGGAGGCAGCAGCUAAGAAUAUUCCGCAAUGGACGAAAGUCUGACGGAGCGACGCCGCCGUGGAUGAAGAAGGCCGGAAGGUUGUAAAAUCCUUUUGAAACUGAAGAAUAAGCGUUGUAGGGAAUGACAGCGUGGUGACAGUAGGUUUUGAAUAAGCAACGGCUAAUUACGUGCCAGCCGCCGC
Molecule: ribosomal RNA, 514 nt
Filed under: uncultured bacterium
Lineage: Bacteria
Description: bacterial SSU rRNA
Rfam family: Bacterial small subunit ribosomal RNA
Source: RNAcentral